GACGAACGCUGGCGGCGUGCUUAACACAUGCAAGUCGAGCGGUGAAGCGCCUUCCUUUUUGGUGGGUGUGGAUGAGUGGCGAACGGGUGAGUAACACGUGAGUAACCUGCCCCCUUCUUCUGGAUAACCGCAUGAAAGUGUGGCUAAUACGGGAUAUUCUGGGUCUGUCGCAUGAUGGGUCUGGGAAAGAUAUUGUUUCGGUGGGGGAUGGGCUCGCGGCCUAUCAGCUUGUUGGUGGGGUGAUGGCCUACCAAGGCGGUGACGGGUAGCCGGCCUGAGAGGGUGGCCGGUCACACUGGGACUGAGACACGGCCCAGACUCCUACGGGAGGCAGCAGUGGGGAAUAUUGCACAAUGGGCGCAAGCCUGAUGCAGCGACGCCGCGUGAGGGAUGGAGGCCUUCGGGUUGUGAACCUCUUUCGCCAGUGAAGCAGGCCUGCCUCGUUUGUGGGUGGGUUGACGGUAGCUGGAUAAGAAGCGCCGGCUAACUACGUG
Molecule: ribosomal RNA, 494 nt
Filed under: uncultured bacterium
Lineage: Bacteria
Description: partial 16S ribosomal RNA
Rfam family: Bacterial small subunit ribosomal RNA
Source: RNAcentral